RNAcentral lists this non-coding RNA (23 nucleotides) under Arabidopsis thaliana (thale cress). Lineage: Eukaryota; Viridiplantae; Streptophyta; Magnoliopsida; Brassicales; Brassicaceae. The record is from RNAcentral.
CACGACUCUUUAUCUUCUUACCC